This 433-nucleotide ribosomal RNA is filed under the name uncultured bacterium. Its description in RNAcentral is "partial 16S ribosomal RNA". It matches the Rfam family "Bacterial small subunit ribosomal RNA", at positions 29 to 507 of the family's 1533-position model. The record is from RNAcentral.
AACGAACGCUGGCGGCAUGCCUAACACAUGCAAGUCGAACGAGACCUUCGGGUCUAGUGGCGCACGGGUGCGUAACGCGUGGGAACAUGCCCUUAGGUUCGGAAUAACUCCCCGAAAGGGGUGCUAAUACCGGAUAAUGUCUUCGGACCAAAGAUUUAUCGCCUUUGGAUGGGCCCGCGUUGGAUUAGCUAGUUGGUAGGGUAAAAGCCUACCAAGGCGACGAUCCAUAGCUGGUCUGAGAGGAUGAUCAGCCACACUGGGACUGAGACACGGCCCAGACUCCUACGGGAGGCAGCAGUGGGGAAUAUUGGACAAUGGGCGAAAGCCUGAUCCAGCAAUGCCGCGUGAGUGAUGAAGGCCUUAGGGUUGUAAAGCUCUUUUACCCGGGAUGAUAAUGACAGUACCGGGAGAAUAAGCGCCGGCUAACUCCGUG